Molecule: small nucleolar RNA, 138 nt
Organism: Tachyglossus aculeatus (Australian echidna)
Lineage: Eukaryota; Metazoa; Chordata; Mammalia; Monotremata; Tachyglossidae
Source: RefSeq, a predicted model, not a curated record
CCCCUCUCAGAGUCGUAUCCUAAGAGUUUCCAGUACUCUACCAGUCUCAGCUAUGGGAGGGAGAGCCAAGCAGAGGCAGAUCCAUUCCAUUCCUAGCUUGGGCAGUAGCUAGCGAGUGGAAGGCAAUCUGCUUCAAGU